Molecule: unclassified non-coding RNA, 1754 nt
Filed under: Portunus trituberculatus (swimming crab)
Lineage: Eukaryota; Metazoa; Arthropoda; Malacostraca; Decapoda; Portunidae
Description: uncharacterized LOC123519890, transcript variant X2
Source: RNAcentral
GGUCACUAAUGAUAUGACAGAUGAUUUGACAUGGUGGGUUCAUAAUGUUUCCAUCCAGAACAGACUGAUUUUCAGGGGAGGUGCAGACAUUGCCUUGCACACAGACGCUUCCAACACAGGCUGGGGAGGUCAUUUAAAUGAGCGUAUCACUGGGGGCAGUUGGUCGUUAGAGGAACAACACCUUCACAUAAAUGCCCUUGAACUUAAGGCUGUUUUACUUGCUCUGCAGACCUUCCGCACUGACCUAAAAGACAAGCACAUCAAAGUCUUUUGUGACAACACCACAGCAAUGACUUACAUUAAUGAAAUGGGAGGUACCAAAUCUCUUACUUGCAACAACAUUGCCACAGCUAUCUGGGACUGGUGUUUGGCAAAUAAUGCUUGGAUUACCUGCUCAUUCAUUCCAGGUAAAGACAAUGUUAGGGCAGACUUGGCAUCUCGUCAUAAGAACGAACGCCAUGAAUGGCAACUGAAUGUGUCCAUUUUUCGUGUCCUGUGUCAUGUUUUUGGCACUCCUACCAUAGAUCUGUUUGCCUCCAGACUGAACAAACAAGUUCCACUUUUCUGUUCUUGGAGACCGGACCCCGAAGCUGCUUACUUUGAUGCCUUUUCCAUCAAGUGGUCAAUGUUUCCUCUUUGUUACAUGUUUCCCCCUUUUUCACUCAUCUCUAGGUGCCUACAGAAAUUGCGGGCCGAACAAGUCGAGGGCUGGAUGGUGGUGCCCCUGUGGCUGUCACAGCCAUGGAUGGGCAUGUUGUUGCACAUGCUGGUCGACCACCCUUGGUUGAUUAUGCGGGGGCAAGCAGUUCUGACACAUCCGUCCUCGGCAGCCCAACACCCAGUUUUGGUCCACACACAACUCAUGGCAUGCAGGUUAUCAGGGAGUCUCUCAAAGCACGAGGCAUAUCUGCAGACGGUUCAGACAUCAUCAUGGCCUCUUGGAAGCCGGGGACGGCCAGACAAUACAGACCACACAUCAACAUGCAAUGGUUACCCACAAAGAUGCACUACCACCCUUCUAAUGUACAGCACCCAUCACUACAACUUGUAAACACCCCUUUGUAUAGUGAAGGAAAAAAUAAUGAGAGAGGAAGAGUGAUGAGAAAAUGGACAACUGUUUAAGUGAGUUAUUAACCUGGAGCAAAGACUACCUGAAGGAUACACGUAUUCACACACACCUAUGUACUGUGAAAAAGGCCUGUUCCAGGCAUUUUACUUGCUUCUCUCUUGUAUGUUGUAGAUCUUCCCCUAAACCUCCAGAUGUAUGUGAACAAGUUCUAAUAUCCCACCCCAGACCGACUUCUCAUCAUUUUCGGUCCUUGAAGCGAAGAAAAACCUGGUACAUAUAGAGAGCGACGUGGACACAAAAACUCUGUGAGAGCAAGAUAAUGGAUAGGAUCCAAAGAGGGAAGGAGGAAGGGUAGGGAAUAGAAUAUAAAGAUGACGGAUGAGUGAGAGACACUAGGUUAUUUUGGGGAGCAUAAUAGGAUGCACAUUAGAAGCUUAAAGCGAGGAAUAUAAUUUUGAAAAGCAUACUUUGAGGAUUGUUAAGCAUUUUCCGAAAGUUUUUGAGCACAAUCCCAUACAAAGAUAGUAGGGGGAAUACAGAUCAGAUGAGUAUGAUUUAUGCAAAUACCACUGCUACGUUAUUUUACGUGCUGUAUACCUAUGGAACACUACAUUACUUCUACUCUUACAAUUCUUUUUUCAUAACCAUCACCAAAAACGGCAUAAAUACACAAUAAAAAAAAAAU